Molecule: long non-coding RNA, 357 nt
Organism: Phascolarctos cinereus (koala)
Lineage: Eukaryota; Metazoa; Chordata; Mammalia; Diprotodontia; Phascolarctidae
Source: RefSeq, a predicted model, not a curated record
ACCAGGGUGCGCGUGCCUGCCUCGCUCACAUACGUAAACACACGCGUGCGCAGACUCGCGUGUGCCGGUAGGCCUGCUCUGUGCCCACUGUUGGGCGGGAAAGGCUAAGCAGCGGCUGGCUCAGGCAAGGAGGCGGCGGAGCCCGCGCCGGGAAGCCCGCUGCCGAGAGGGCCCCGGUCUCGUUUGGGUUCUGGUGUUGCUGUCAUUGUGAAAGAAUUGGCUGAAUAAAAGAACCUGGCAUUCAUGUGAACUCCAACAGAAAUACUUAAGGUUAUUAGCACCUUGAUGGAAAGAGCUCGCACCUCUCCCAUCACAGCAAUUGGCGUCUCUCCUGUUGCCUCAGCGACUCGAUGUUCA